Molecule: ribosomal RNA, 448 nt
Filed under: uncultured bacterium
Lineage: Bacteria
Description: bacterial SSU rRNA
Rfam family: Bacterial small subunit ribosomal RNA
Source: RNAcentral
UCCAGACUCCUACGGGAGGCAGCAGUGGGGGAUAUUGCACAAUGGGGGAAACCCUGAUGCAGCGACGCCGCGUGGGUGAAGAAGCGCCUCGGCGCGUAAAGCCCUUUCAGCAGGGAAGAAAAUGACGGUACCUGAAGAAGAAGCCCCGGCUAACUACGUGCCAGCAGCCGCGGUAAUACGGAGGGUGCGAGCGUUAAUCGGAAUUACUGGGCGUAAAGCGCACGUAGGCUGUAUGACAAGUCAAGGGUGAAAUGCCACGGCUCAACCGUGGAACUGCCUUUGAAACUGUCAAACUGGAGUAUGUGAGAGGGCGGCGGAAUUCCUGGUGUAGGAGUGAAAUCCGUAGAUAUCAGGAGGAACAUCAGUGGCGAAGGCGGCCGACUGGCACAAAACUGACGCUGAGGUGCGAAAGCGUGGGUAGCAAACAGGAUUAGAUACCCUUGUAAAA